AUUGAACGCUGGCGGCAGGCUUAACACAUGCAAGUCGAGCGAGCGGCGGACGGGUGAGUAAUGUCUGGGACACUGCCUGAUGGAGGGGUAUAACUACUGGAAACGGUAGCUAAUCCCGCAUACCAUCAGAUGUGCCCAUAUGGGAUUAGCUAGGCGGGGGGGUAAGGGCUCACCUAGGCGACGCUCCCUAGCGGGUCUGAGAGGAUGACCAGCCACACUGGAACUGAGACACGGUCCAGACGCCGACGGUAGGCAGCAGUGGGGAAUAUUGCACAAUGGGCGCAAGCCUGAUGCAGCCAUGCCGCUUGUGUGAAGAAGGCCUUCGGGUUGUAAAGCACUUUCAGCGAGGAGGCGUUACUCGCAGAAGAAGCACCGGCUAACUCCGUGCCAGCAGCCGCGGUAAUUC
This 406-nucleotide ribosomal RNA is filed under the name uncultured bacterium. RNAcentral's name for it is "partial 16S ribosomal RNA". It matches the Rfam family "Bacterial small subunit ribosomal RNA", at positions 30 to 526 of the family's 1533-position model. The record is from RNAcentral.